GUUUUUAUGAAUUAAUAUUUGAACAAUAUUGCAACUAUUACAACACUGUUUUUCCCUUUAUGUUUUGUACCACUUCUUUUAACAGGGAUCCUUUGUGUUGGUGUUUGGAACUCUUUUAGAUAGCAAGGUCCGUGAGUCACUGCCAGGAAAGCUGUCAUUGAGUAAACUCAGUUCCAGCCUUACCAGGAGCACAAGUGCAGGAACAUCAUCAAGAAGUAGACUAGGUUUUAUUCAAAGGAUACGGAGGAAUGUGUUUAACUUUUCUGAAGUGAAUGCUUUCUGAGCAGCUACAUCUUCAAAAAGCUCCAAUGCCUCGCUUAACUAAACCAACUAUAAACUUCAGCCAAAAGCAUUUUAUCUAGUCCAAGUAUAUGUAAAUGCC
Molecule: long non-coding RNA, 382 nt
Organism: Xyrauchen texanus (razorback sucker)
Lineage: Eukaryota; Metazoa; Chordata; Actinopteri; Cypriniformes; Catostomidae
Exons: 4
Source: RefSeq, a predicted model, not a curated record